This 549-nucleotide ribosomal RNA is filed under the name uncultured Glomeromycotina. RNAcentral describes it as "SSU rRNA". It matches the Rfam family "Eukaryotic small subunit ribosomal RNA", at positions 548 to 1098 of the family's 1831-position model. The record is from RNAcentral. Lineage: Eukaryota; Fungi; Glomeromycota.
UUGGAGGGCAAGUCUGGUGCCAGCAGCCGCGGUAAUUCCAGCUCCAAUAGCGUAUAUUAAAGUUGUUGCAGUUAAAAAGCUCGUAGUUGAAUUUCGGGGUCAGUAGGUUGGUCAUGCCACAGGUAUGUACUGGUCUCACUGAUUCCUCCUUCCUGAUGAACUGUAAUGCCAUUAAUUUGGUGUUGCAGGGAAUCUGGACUGUUACUUUGAAAAAAUUAGAGUGUUUAAAGCAGGCUAACGCCUGAAUACAUUAGCAUGGAAUAAUGAAAUAGGACGUUCGAUCCUAUUUUGUUGGUUUCUAGGAUUGACGUAAUGAUUAAUAGGGAUAGUUGGGGGCAUUAGUAUUCAAUUGUCAGAGGUGAAAUUCUUGGAUUUAUUGAAGACUAACUACUGCGAAAGUAUUUGCCAAGGAUGUUUUCAUUAAUCAAGAACGAAAGUUAGGGGAUCGAAGACGAUCAGAUACCGUCGUAGUCUUAACCAUAAACUAUGCCGACUAGGGAUCGGAUGAUGUUAAUUUUUUAAUGACUCAUUCGGCGCCUUACGGGAAAC